UAGAUCUCAAAUCAGGUAGGACUACCCGCUGAACUUAAGCA
RNAcentral lists this ribosomal RNA (41 nucleotides) under Rhodotorula paludigena. Its description in RNAcentral is "partial 26S ribosomal RNA". Lineage: Eukaryota; Fungi; Basidiomycota; Microbotryomycetes; Sporidiobolales; Sporidiobolaceae. The record is from RNAcentral.